CUUAAUGCACAGCAACCUCAGAUACACUUUGUGAACCACUGGAAGGAUUCUACUGUAUAGACUUCACAGAGAACCACUGUGUGGCAGCACAGAAACACAGCAGCUGUCAACCAGGACAAUACAUCAGGGAGAAAGGAACAGUCCUCAGAGACACUGUGUGCUCUGACUGCAGUGGGGGGACAUUUUCAGAUGGGACAUUUCCAUCUUGUCAGCCACACACACAAUGUCAAUCAGAAAACCUUCAGCUGAUAAGAGCAGGAACAGCUUCAACUGAUGCUUAAUGUGGACA
Toxotes jaculatrix (banded archerfish) is the source of this 289-nucleotide long non-coding RNA. RefSeq lists it as uncharacterized. The record is from RefSeq and is a predicted model, not a curated record. NCBI's taxonomy places the organism in Eukaryota, Metazoa, Chordata, Actinopteri, Toxotidae. The transcript has 3 exons.